AUCCGGGUUGCGGACAGUGUCUGGUGGGUAGUUUGACUGGGGCGGUCUCCUCCUAAAGAGUAACGGAGGAGCACGAAGGUUGGCUAAUCCUGGUCGGACAUCAGGAGGUUAGUGCAAUGGUAUAAGCCAGCUUGACUGCGAGCGUGACGGCGCGAGCAGGUGCGAAAGCAGGUCAUAGUGAUCCGGUGGUUCUGAAUGGAAGGGCCAUCGCUCAACGGAUAAAAGGUACUCCGGGGAUAACAGGCUGAUACCGCCCAAGAGUUCAUAUCGACGGCGGUGUUUGGCACCUCGAUGUCGGCUCAUCACAUCCUGGGGCUGAAGUAGGUCCCAAGGGUAUGGCUGUUCGCCAUUUAAAGUGGUACGCGAGCUGGGUUUAGAACGUCGUGAGACAGUUCGGUCCCUAUCUGCCGUGGGCGCUGGAGAAUUGAGGGGGGCUGCUCCUAGUACGAGAGGACCGGAGUGGACGCAUCACUGGUGUUCGGGUUGUCAUGCCAAUGGCACUGCCCGGUAGCUAAAUGCGGAAGAGAUAAGUGCUGAAAGCAUCUAAGCACGAAACUUGCCCCGAGAUGAGUUCUCCCUGACUCCUUGAGAGUCCUGAAGGAACGUUGAAGACGACGACGUUGAUAGGCCGGGUGUGUAAGCGCAGCGAUGCGUUGAGCUAACCGGUACUAAUGAACCGUGAGGCUUAACCUUACAACGCCGAAG
Molecule: ribosomal RNA, 705 nt
Filed under: Escherichia coli
Lineage: Bacteria; Pseudomonadati; Pseudomonadota; Gammaproteobacteria; Enterobacterales; Enterobacteriaceae
Description: partial 23S ribosomal RNA
Rfam family: Bacterial large subunit ribosomal RNA
Source: RNAcentral